This 497-nucleotide ribosomal RNA is filed under the name uncultured bacterium. RNAcentral describes it as "partial 16S ribosomal RNA". It matches the Rfam family "Bacterial small subunit ribosomal RNA", at positions 28 to 507 of the family's 1533-position model. The record is from RNAcentral.
GAUGAACGCUGGCGGCGUGCCUAAUACAUGCAAGUCGAGCGAACGGAUGAGAAGCUUGCUCCUCUGAUGUUAGCGGCGGACGGGUGAGUAACACGUGGAUAACCUACCUAUAAGACUGGGAUAACUUCGGGAAACCGGAGCUAAUACCGGAUGAUAUUUUGAACCGCAUGGUUCAAUAGUGAAAGACGGUUUUGCUGUCACUUAUAGAUGGAUCCGCGCUGCAUUAGCUAGUUGGUAAGGUAACGGCUUACCAAGGCAACGAUGCAUAGCCGACCUGAGAGGGUGAUCGGCCACACUGGAACUGAGACACGGUCCAGACUCCUACGGGAGGCAGCAGUAGGGAAUCUUCCGCAAUGGGCGAAAGCCUGACGGAGCAACGCCGCGUGAGUGAUGAAGGUCUUCGGAUCGUAAAACUCUGUUAUUAGGGAAGAACAAAUGUGUAAGUAACUGUGCACAUCUUGACGGUACCUAAUCAGAAAGCCACGGCUAACUACGUG